AACGCUAGCUACAGGCUUAACACAUGCGAGUCGAGGGGCAGCAUGGUCUUAGCUUGCUAAGGCCGAUGGCGACCGGCGCACGGGUGAGUAACACGUAUCCAACCUGCCGUCUACUCUUGGACAGCCUUCUGAAAGGAAGAUUAAUACAAGAUGGCAUCAUGAGUCCGCAUGUUCACAUGAUUAAAGGUAUUCCGGUAGACGAUGGGGAUGCGUUCCAUUAGAUAGUAGGCGGGGUAACGGCCCACCUAGUCUUCGAUGGAUAGGGGUUCUGAGAGGAAGGUCCCCCACAUUGGAACUGAGACACGGUCCAAACUCCUACGGGAGGCAGCAGUGAGGAAUAUUGGUCAAUGGGCGAGAGCCUGAACCAGCCAAGUAGCGUGAAGGAUGACUGCCCUAUGGGUUGUAAACUUCUUUUAUAAAGGAAUAAAGUCGGGUAUGGAUACCCGUUUGCAUGUACUUUAUGAAUAAGGAUCGGCUAACUCCGUGCCAGCAGCCGCGGUAAUACGGAGGAUCCGAGCGUUAUCCGGAUUUAUUGGGUUUAAAGGGAGCGUAGAUGGAUGUUUAAGUCAGUUGUGAAAGUUUGCGGCUCAACCGUAAAAUUGCAGUUGAUACUGGAUAUCUUGAGUGCAGUUGAGGCAGGCGGAAUUCGUGGUGUAGCGGUGAAAUGCUUAGAUAUCACGAAGAACUCCGAUUG
RNAcentral lists this ribosomal RNA (694 nucleotides) under uncultured bacterium. RNAcentral describes it as "bacterial SSU rRNA". It matches the Rfam family "Bacterial small subunit ribosomal RNA", at positions 32 to 715 of the family's 1533-position model. The record is from RNAcentral.